GACGAACGCUGGCGGCGUGCCUAAUACAUGCAAGUCGAGCGGACGAUUCGAAAGCUUGCUUUUGAAUCGUUAGCGGCGGACGGGUGAGUAACACGUGGGCAACCUGCCCUGUAGACGGGGAUAACACCGAGAAAUCGGUGCUAAUACCGGAUAACACGAAAUGUCGCAUUACGUUUCGUUGAAAGGCGGCGCAAGCUGCCGCUACAGGAUUGGCCCGCGGCGCAUUAGCUAGUUGGUGAGGUAACGGCUCACCAAGGCGACGAUGCGUAGCCGACCUGAGAGGGUGAUCGGCCACACUGGGACUGAGACACGGCCCAGACUCCUACGGGAGGCAGCAGUAGGGAAUCUUCCGCAAUGGACGAAAGUCUGACGGAGCAACGCCGCGUGAGCGAAGAAGGCCUUCGGGUCGUAAAGCUCUGUUGUUAGGGAAGAACAAGUAACGUAGUAACUGACGUUACUAUGACGGUACCUAACGAGAAAGCCACGGCUAACUACGUG
This 498-nucleotide ribosomal RNA is filed under the name uncultured bacterium. RNAcentral's name for it is "partial 16S ribosomal RNA". It matches the Rfam family "Bacterial small subunit ribosomal RNA", at positions 28 to 507 of the family's 1533-position model. The record is from RNAcentral.